RNAcentral lists this ribosomal RNA (727 nucleotides) under uncultured Bacilli bacterium. RNAcentral describes it as "bacterial SSU rRNA". It matches the Rfam family "Bacterial small subunit ribosomal RNA", at positions 37 to 743 of the family's 1533-position model. Lineage: Bacteria; Bacillati; Bacillota; Bacilli. The record is from RNAcentral.
UGGCGGCGUGCCUAAUACAUGCAAGUCGAGCGAAGUUUUUCUGGUGCUUGCACUAGAAAAACUUAGCGGCGAACGGGUGAGUAACACGUAAAGAACCUGCCUCAUAGACGGGGACAACUAUUGGAAACGAUAGCUAAUACCGGAUAACAGCAUAAAUCGCAUGAUAUAUGUUUAAAAGUUGGUUUCGGCUAACACUAUGAGAUGGCUUUGCGGUGCAUUAGCUAGUUGGUGGGGUAAAGGCCUACCAAGGCGACGAUGCAUAGCCGACCUGAGAGGGUGAUCGGCCACACUGGGACUGAGACACGGCCCAGACUCCUACGGGAGGCAGCAGUAGGGAAUCUUCCGCAAUGGGCGAAAGCCUGACGGAGCAACGCCGCGUGAGUGAAGAAGGAUUUCGGUUCGUAAAGCUCUGUUGUUAGGGAAGAAUGAUUGUAUAGUAACUAUAUACAGUAGAGACGGUACCUAACCAGAAAGCCACGGCUAACUACGUGCCAGCAGCCGCGGUAAUACGUGGGUGGCAAGCGUUGUCCGGAAUUAUUGGGCGUAAAGCGCGCGCAGGUGGUUUAAUAAGUCUGAUGUGAAAGCCCACGGCUCAACCGUGGAGGGUCAUUGGAAACUGUUAAACUUGAGUGCAGGAGAGAAAAGUGGAAUUCCUAGUGUAGCGGUGAAAUGCGUAGAGAUUAGGAGGAACACCAGUGGCGAAGGCGGCUUUUUGGCCUGUAACUGA